This 481-nucleotide ribosomal RNA is filed under the name uncultured eukaryote. Its description in RNAcentral is "bacterial SSU rRNA". It matches the Rfam family "Eukaryotic small subunit ribosomal RNA", at positions 592 to 990 of the family's 1831-position model. The record is from RNAcentral.
CACAAGCGUAUAUUAAUGUUGUUGCAGUUAAAAGCUCGUAGUUGGAUAUCUGUCAUGGUGGGCCUGGCCCGACAGCUGUUCGUCAGCUGACGUGUGCCGGUUUUGGUGUUUGCGGUGGCGCACUUCGGUGUACCCUGCUUGCGCUAGCUCGCCGGACAUCCUUCAGGAGAACCGUUCUGCCAUUUACUUGGUUGGGGCGAGGAUCCUGAUCAUUUACUUUGAACAAAUUAGAGUGUUUAACGCAGGCUUAUGCCGCGAAUAGAUUAGCAUGGAAUAAUAAGAUAGGACUUCGGCACCACCUGCGAUUCGUUUCGGGUUGUUGGUCUUCUAUUUUGUUGGUUUCUAGAGCUGAAGUAAUGAUUGAUAGGGAUAGUUGGGGUGCUCGUAUUGCUGGGCCAGAGGUGAAAUUCUCGGAUUCUAGUAAGACGAACUUUUGCGAAAGCAUUCACCAAGGAUGUCUUCUUUAAUCAAGAACGAAAGU